AUUUUCUCCCGGCAUGCAGCAGGACAGCACUGGAUGUUGGGUCAACUUAUCAACAGCUAAUGACCAGGUGCCGGUCACUGACCUGGAAGGACCCAAAGGUGUAUGGGGGGCGUGUCCAUGCACCCCACCACCACAGCUCGACAAAAACGACCCACCAAAAGCAAAUGAAAAUAUAAGAAACAGUGCAAAAAUUAGCUUAAUUUUUUACUAUCUAUAGGUACAUUAAAUAAGGAAGGAAGGCAAACACAGAAGGCGCCCGGAGCCCAGCAGGCUCCAGUCCGUUGGUGGCAACGUGCUCUGGUCGGCUAGCAGCUAGUGGCUAACGGACUCCCGCCGCUAAAGCCAGCGGGCUUCAACGGCCGGUGGCCAAGGCUCCUGGCGGGCCAGCGGGCAACGGAGGAUCGGCUCCAACGGAGGGCCGGUCGGCUCCAGCAGAGGGUCGGCUCCAACGGGCAGCAGGCGCAGUAGCUUCUGGCAGCCGAACACCGCUUCACGGUGGACAGCAGCUCACGACCUCAGGAGGAUCCAGCCCGGAUCCAACAACCAGAGCCAACAGGCAGACCAAAGAUCAGUCCGGAGACACCUGUGGUUAGCAGCAGCAGCCGCCCUCGGCGAAGCCACAACCCACAGCGGAGGACCACCUGAGUGGCAGCAGGAGCACAGAUCACAGCCCGGACGAGUCCAAAGAAAACCAGCUCACAGGAGCGGGACAGGUGACGACAGUUUCGACCAGUCAGACUGGGGACGAUGGCGUCGGCGCUCGCUCUGGACGCAGUGCUGUCGACUACUGCUGGGGCCACGGUGGUGGAUGGCUUCGCCCCUCCCUCGGCA
Molecule: long non-coding RNA, 831 nt
Organism: Larimichthys crocea (large yellow croaker)
Lineage: Eukaryota; Metazoa; Chordata; Actinopteri; Sciaenidae
Exons: 3
Source: RefSeq, a predicted model, not a curated record